This 707-nucleotide ribosomal RNA is filed under the name uncultured bacterium. RNAcentral's name for it is "bacterial SSU rRNA". It matches the Rfam family "Bacterial small subunit ribosomal RNA", at positions 102 to 797 of the family's 1533-position model. The record is from RNAcentral.
ACGGGUGAGUAACGCGUAGGUAACCUGCCUAUUAGAGGGGGAUAACUAUUGGAAACGAUAGCUAAUACCGCAUAACAGUAUGUAACACAUGUUAGAUGCUUGAAAGAUGCAAUUGCAUCGCUAGUAGAUGGACCUGCGUUGUAUUAGCUAGUAGGUAGGGUAAAGGCCUACCUAGGCAACGAUACAUAGCCGACCUGAGAGGGUGACCGGCCACACUGGGACUGAGACACGGCCCAGACUCCUACGGGAGGCAGCAGUAGGGAAUCUUCGGCAAUGGGGGGAACCCUGACCGAGCAACGCCGCGUGAGUGAAGAAGGUUUUCGGAUCGUAAAGCUCUGUUGUUAAGGAAGAACGAGUGUGAGAAUGGAAAGUUCAUACUGUGACGGUACUUAACCAGAAAGGGACGGCUAACUACGUGCCAGCAGCCGCGGUAAUACGUAGGUCCCGAGCGUUGUCCGGAUUUAUUGGGCGUAAAGCGAGCGCAGGCGGUUAGAAAAGUCUGAAGUGAAAGGCAGUGGCUCAACCAUUGUAGGCUUUGGAAACUGUUUAACUUGAGUGCAGAAGGGGAGAGUGGAAUUCCAUGUGUAGCGGUGAAAUGCGUAGAUAUAUGGAGGAACACCGGUGGCGAAAGCGGCUCUCUGGUCUGUAACUGACGCUGAGGCUCGAAAGCGUGGGGAGCGAACAGGAUUAGAUACCCUGGUAGUCCA